GGAGAAAUACUCAAGAGGCCGAAGAGGCGCCCCUGCUAAGGGUGUAGGUCGCUAACGCGGCGCGAGGGUUCAAAUCCCUCUUUCUCCG
RNAcentral lists this transfer RNA (88 nucleotides) under Candidatus Scybalocola faecipullorum. Its description in RNAcentral is "tRNA-Ser". It matches the Rfam family "tRNA". Rfam says of the family: Transfer RNA (tRNA) molecules are approximately 80 nucleotides in length. Their secondary structure includes four short double-helical elements and three loops (D, anti-codon, and T loops). Lineage: Bacteria; Bacillati; Bacillota; Clostridia; Lachnospirales; Lachnospiraceae. The record is from RNAcentral.